Molecule: long non-coding RNA, 289 nt
Organism: Clupea harengus (Atlantic herring)
Lineage: Eukaryota; Metazoa; Chordata; Actinopteri; Clupeiformes; Clupeidae
Exons: 3
Source: RefSeq, a predicted model, not a curated record
AAGUGAAUCUAAAACUUCACUUUAGACGCACCAUUUUGUUUAGCAUAUUUGGUAGACUGCCAUUCAACGACAAAGAGACGAAGUCUGUCACCAGUGGUGAUAUCCGGUGUAACCAGCGCCUCCAUUUCAAAGAGACGCGCGGUGAAGAGAGGCUGAGGGGAUUCUGUGGGAAUCAGAAGACGGACACAAAGCAGAUGUGAGGAUGGAGUAUCCAGAGCACUCUGAUCCAGAUGAGGAAGAAGAGAAGACCAGAGCCCCUAAAGGGGGUGUGUCUACUUCUGACAGGUCA